Molecule: ribosomal RNA, 253 nt
Filed under: uncultured bacterium
Lineage: Bacteria
Description: partial 16S ribosomal RNA
Rfam family: Bacterial small subunit ribosomal RNA
Source: RNAcentral
UACAGAGGUGGCAAGCGUUGUUCGGAAUUACUGGGCGUAAAGGGCGUGUAGGCGGUCCGCUAAGUCUGAUGUGAAAGCCCGGGGCUCACCCCCGGAAGGGCAUUGGAAACUGGCGGACUCGAGUCUCGGAGAGGAAGGUGGAAUUCCUGGUGUAGCGGUGAAAUGCGUAGAGAUCGGAAAGAACACCAACGGCGAAAGCACUCUGCUGGGCCGACACUGACACUGAGAGACGAAAGCUAGGGGAGCGAAUGGG